Molecule: ribosomal RNA, 305 nt
Filed under: uncultured bacterium
Lineage: Bacteria
Description: partial 16S ribosomal RNA
Rfam family: Bacterial small subunit ribosomal RNA
Source: RNAcentral
ACAGCAGCAGCCGCGGGAAUACAGAGGGUGCGAGCGUUAAUCGGAUUUACUGGGCGUAAAGCGUGCGUAGGCGGCUAAUUGAGUCGGAUGUGAAAUCCCCGAGCUUAACUUGGGAAUUGCAUUCGAUACUGGUUAGCUAGAGUGUGGGAGAGGAUGGUAGAAUUCCAGGUGUAGCGGUGAAAUGCGUAGAGAUCUGGAGGAAUACCGAUGGCGAAGGCAGCCAUCUGGCCUAACACUGACGCUGAGGUACGAAAGCAUGGGGAGCAAACAGGAUUAGAUACCCCUGUAGUCCCUGUCUCUUAUAC